This 473-nucleotide ribosomal RNA is filed under the name uncultured Sphingobacteriales bacterium. Its description in RNAcentral is "bacterial SSU rRNA". It matches the Rfam family "Bacterial small subunit ribosomal RNA", at positions 920 to 1382 of the family's 1533-position model. Lineage: Bacteria; Pseudomonadati; Bacteroidota; Sphingobacteriia; Sphingobacteriales. The record is from RNAcentral.
CCCGGCCGACAAGACGGAGGAAGGCAUGUGGGUUUAAGUUUCGUAUGAUACGCGAGGGAACCUUACCUGGGCUCGAACGUAAGAUGACUGUAGGUGAAAGCUUACAUCUCUUCGGAGCAUUUUACGAGGUGCUGCAUGGUUGUCGUCAGCUCGUGCCGUGAGGUGUCGGGUUAAGUCCCAUAACGAGCGCAACCCCUACCUUUAGUUGCCAUCAGGUUAAGCUGGGGACUCUAAAGGAACUGCCUACGCAAGUAGUGAGGAAGGCGGGGAUGACGUCAAAUCAGCACGGCCCUUACGUCCAGGGCUACACACGUGCUACAAUGGCCGAUACAGAGGGCAGCUACCUGGUGACAGGAUGCAAAUCUCCAAAGUCGGUCUCAGUUCGGAUCGGAGUCUGCAACCCGACUCCGUGAAGUUGGAUUCGCUAGUAAUCGCGCAUCAGCCAUGGCGCGGUGAAUACGUUCCCGGGCCUU